CGUACCGUGAGUAAUAAUAC
RNAcentral lists this microRNA (20 nucleotides) under Ovis aries (sheep). RNAcentral's name for it is "microRNA miR-126". The record is from RNAcentral. Lineage: Eukaryota; Metazoa; Chordata; Mammalia; Artiodactyla; Bovidae.